AAUCUCGGCCCGAAGCUCCUGGGCUACUGUAACGAUACAUUUCAGGGGGCCAUUUCUUACAUAUUGCACCUUUUAAUAUUUUCCAUUACUACCCUAUUGCCUUUCGUGGUGUAGUUUCUUAUUGAGAGGAGAGUCGUGCUGGGUGUGUUAUCUGUAUUUCAUCAUGUUCAUAUAUUGAUGUGACACGUGAUGAGUGAUGUAAUAACGUUGAAAAAGAGUUUGCUUUAAAUGGUAACACAGAAAGUGUUUCUUAACAACUCAAACUGUGACAAUGCUGCACCGUCCAGAGUUCAUCAGUCAGUGUCCAAUCUGGUGACCUCCCUCUCUUUGCCUCUCUAUCUCUCUCUUAAGUGUUAAUGUACUUUAAGUGACCAAUUAUUUAGUUAGUGUGUGUACGCCUCGGGUGUCUCUCCCAACAAGUGGGGGGGAGGAUGCGGAGAACAGGAGCACCUAGAAGCAGAAGGAGGGGCCCCUCAGACCAGAGUGUAUAUUAGACCCUCACAAUCAGGGUACGAUACCCACUCCAGAUCAUCUGCUGUUUUACCCUCCUCAUCCUGCCGACGCUGAAACGUUUUGGGCUUUUCUUUUUUUCUCCCUCCAGGUCCACUAUGUUGGGACGACUACUUCUUCAGAGUGCAGUUAUUCUUUGGCUGGUGCAGACAGCGCACACAAGGGGUUACGGAGCUGUAUCCGGAGUACCAAAUGGACAGGGGCCACAACAUCAUGGGAGGAGACCUCAGAAUGGUGGAGGUGUAGGCAGAAUGCCGAUGCCAUCAAAAGGUGUGGGUCAGGCAAUGGGCGCUCAAAAUGGAUACGGUGGAUACCCAACAAAAGGAAUAGGCUACGGUGCAGCUGCUGGUGUGACCAAUGGAGGAGGGACAAAAGGCUAUGGAGCAGCAGCUGGUGCAACCAAUGAACAAGGCAGCAAACAGCAGGGAGGAAAUCCAGCAGUUUUACCCAAUGGUAACGGAGCUAAAUCUAAUGGAUAUGGUGUUCCAGGCGGCCCGACCAAUGGACAACCAAUGAAAGGCAACGGUUAUGGUGCGCAAGCUGGUGGAUAUGGUGGACAAGCAACUAAAGGCAAUGGUUAUGGAGUUCCUGCUGCAGCAACACAAAAUGGUAAUGGUGCUGCAGCUGCUGCACACAAUGGACCUGUAACAAAGGGCAAUGGAGGAUAUCCUUCAGUUUUACCUAACGGACAUGGAGCUACAUCUAAUGGAUAUGGUGCUCAAGCCGGCCCAACCAAUGGACAGCCAAUGAAAGGCAAUGGCUACGGAGCGCAAGCUGGUGGAUACGGUGGACAAGCAACUAAAGGCAAUGGCUAUGGUGCUGGAUCUAAUGUUCCUAAUGGAAAUGGGGCUAAAACCAAUGGUCAAGGAGCUGCAGCCGGCGGCAAUGGAGCAAGACCAAAUGGACAAGGGGGAGCUGGGAGUAAACCUAUGAAAGGUUAUGGCCGACCACCUUUUGGGGCAGGUCCAGGUGUUGGGAUGGGACCCUCCAGAGGUCUGGGUGUACCUCAGAUUGCCAAGAACCAAAGGGCCCAAUCACAUGGUGGAAAUGGUGGUAAUGGUUAUAAUGGCUAUGGAGCUCGACCCAUGGGAGGUUACAAUGGUGGUUAUGGCCGUGCUGGUAUGGGUCUCGGACCUCGGUAUGGAAAUGGAGGGAUGAAGGGACCAAAGCCAGGCUAUGGUGCUGCAGCUGGUGUACCCAAUGGGCAAGGUGCAAAAACCAAUGGUUAUGCUGGAGCCAGAGCCCCCAAUGGGAAUGGAGCCAUGCCAAAUGGGUAUGGUAAUAUUCCAAAUGGGUAUGGUGCCAAACCCAACAGUGAGAUGGUUUACUUCUUUUGAAAAAUCUUUU
Molecule: long non-coding RNA, 1857 nt
Organism: Sparus aurata (gilthead seabream)
Lineage: Eukaryota; Metazoa; Chordata; Actinopteri; Spariformes; Sparidae
Source: Ensembl